RNAcentral lists this ribosomal RNA (843 nucleotides) under Salmonella enterica. RNAcentral's name for it is "partial 23S ribosomal RNA". It matches the Rfam family "Bacterial large subunit ribosomal RNA", at positions 711 to 1554 of the family's 2925-position model. Lineage: Bacteria; Pseudomonadati; Pseudomonadota; Gammaproteobacteria; Enterobacterales; Enterobacteriaceae. The record is from RNAcentral. RNAcentral also lists the same sequence under 1 other name.
AGACCCGAAACCCGGUGAUCUAGCCAUGGGCAGGUUGAAGGUUGGGUAACACUAACUGGAGGACCGAACCGACUAAUGUUGAAAAAUUAGCGGAUGACCUGUGGCUGGGGGUGAAAGGCCAAUCAAACCGGGAGAUAGCUGGUUCUCCCCGAAAGCUAUUUAGGUAGCGCCUCGUGAACUCAUCUCCGGGGGUAGAGCACUGUUUCGGCUAGGGGGCCAUCCCGGCUUACCAACCCGAUGCAAACUGCGAAUACCGGAGAAUGUUAUCACGGGAGACACACGGCGGGUGCUAACGUCCGUCGUGAAGAGGGAAACAACCCAGACCGCCAGCUAAGGUCCCAAAGUCAUGGUUAAGUGGGAAACGAUGUGGGAAGGCCCAGACAGCCAGGAUGUUGGCUUAGAAGCAGCCAUCAUUUAAAGAAAGCGUAAUAGCUCACUGGUCGAGUCGGCCUGCGCGGAAGAUGUAACGGGGCUAAACCAUGCACCGAAGCUGCGGCAGCGACACUUUAGUGUUGUUGGGUAGGGGAGCGUUCUGUAAGCCGUUGAAGGUGUCCUGUGAGGGGUGCUGGAGGUAUCAGAAGUGCGAAUGCUGACAUAAGUAACGAUAAAGCGGGUGAAAAGCCCGCUCGCCGGAAGACCAAGGGUUCCUGUCCAACGUUAAUCGGGGCAGGGUGAGUCGACCCCUAAGGCGAGGCCGAAAGGCGUAGUCGAUGGGAAACGGGUUAAUAUUCCCGUACUUGGUGUUACUGCGAAGGGGGGACGGAGAAGGCUAUGUUGGCCGGGCGACGGUUGUCCCGGUUUAAGCGUGUAGGCUGGUUUUCCAGGCAAAUCCGGAAAAUCAAG